UACCAGCUCUUCGAGUGGUGUGGAUGUUUAUUGGGCCUAAAGCAUCCGUAGCUGGCUGGGCAAGUCCCCUGUUAAAUCCACCGAUUUAAUCGUUGGAGUGCGGGGGAUACUGUUCGGCUAGGGGACGGGAGAGGCAGACGGUAUUUUCGGGGUAGGGGUGAAAUCCUAUAAUCCCGGGAAGACCACCAGUGGCGAAGGCUGUCUGCUAGAACGCGCCCGACGGUGAGGGAUGAAAGCUGGGGGAGCGAACCGGAUUAGAUACCCGGGUAGUCCCAGCUGUAAACGAUGCAGGCUAGGUGUUUGGGCGGCCACGUGCCGCUCUAGUGCCGCAGGGAAGCCGUUAAGCCUGCCGCCUGGGGAGUACGGCCGCAAGGCUGAAACUUAAAGGAAUUGGCGGGGAGCACCUCAAGAGGUGAAGCUUGCGGUUU
Molecule: ribosomal RNA, 428 nt
Filed under: uncultured archaeon
Lineage: Archaea
Description: bacterial SSU rRNA
Rfam family: Archaeal small subunit ribosomal RNA
Source: RNAcentral